GGGCCUAUAGUUAAAAGGUUUAUAACGCACGACUCAUAAUCCUGUAUUCCUGGUUCGAGUCCAGGUAGGCCCA
This 73-nucleotide transfer RNA is filed under the name Catenibacterium mitsuokai. RNAcentral's name for it is "tRNA-Met". It matches the Rfam family "tRNA". Rfam says of the family: Transfer RNA (tRNA) molecules are approximately 80 nucleotides in length. Their secondary structure includes four short double-helical elements and three loops (D, anti-codon, and T loops). Lineage: Bacteria; Bacillati; Bacillota; Erysipelotrichia; Erysipelotrichales; Coprobacillaceae. The record is from RNAcentral. RNAcentral also lists the same sequence under 1 other name.